CACUGUUCAGGCUCCUCCUCUGCCUCCCAGUCCCUCCCUCCCUCCCUCUCUCUCUGAUAAGGAACAGGAAGUGAUGACAUCAGAGAGAGAGGCAGAGGGAGCUCCGUGGGAGAAAUCAUUCUACUUCUCCUCUCCAGCCCAGCUCCAGCAGCCUGCCCAUGUAGUGGCCAGCCAAGUGCCCACUGUGCCCUACAUGCAGACAACCUGACCAAGACAGUCCUAACUCCUGAGUCCUGACACCUGUCCUAGUCUGUCACUCACUUCUAAAAAGAUUUGGCCUCCGCUAAAACGAUGGAUCAUAAAGCCAGAGAACAAUCCUGGCUUUCGUCACUUAAUGUUAUGUUUAUUGAAGCUGGAGCAGGAGGAGUUGCUGACCCGGGAGAUGCCAGGGAGACGCAGGCCACCUUGAGUAAUUUGUUACAUAAACGAACCAAGACUUGGUGGAAUAGAGCGUUCUUGGAGAGGUACCUCAAGAAGGGUUUGAUUCCAAGAGGUUUGAGUAUUUCCCUGCUUUGAUAUAGAGGACAAAGUAUUUUUGGGAUGAUGGGAGGAGAUUUGCAAUGAGGCAGCUAACAGAUUCAUGGGGCUCCUGAUUCAUCAUUAUACAACAACUUUGGAUACAAUAGAUAUUGAGAUCGAGAAAGUACAAACUGUCCUAAGACAGAAAUGUAGCCAAGAAACACUUAUUGAGCGUUUCAUCAAACGACAUAAGAACUUUGAGAAAUGGGAAAGAGCAAUUCAGGAUGUAAAGGCAAAUAAAUGUAUCCGUGAUUAUAAUGAUUUCCAAUCUAAGACGAUAUAUAAAUGGAGACGAAAGGAUAGGAUGCAAUCAAGGAAAGAGGGUACUUCAUCUCGUAACCGUACAUCCUCCAUUUCAUCUCUGUCCUCAAUCUCUGUCCAUUCGGAAUUCACAGGAAGGAUGACAAAAUCUACUUCCUCAAAAAGAAGGCCCCCGUGCCAUAUUUAAUGGGAAGAGGAGCAACUUCCUGGAGAAGAAGGGAGAUGCACAACAUGACAAUUUGAAGCGGUGAAGGAUUUGCAUAUUUUCGACUGCUCGUUACUUCAUAAAAAGUGGCAUUAUAAAGAGGGGGACACUGAUAUUUUUACUACUAAAUAAGAACAAGAAGCUGUGCGGACGUAGGAGGAAUUAUUGGAUGAAAACGAACAAGACAGAGAUGAGAUUCCACAAUCACUGAAAUGCCCAGAGGGGUGAAGCCGGCUCCAUUCUGACAAAUGUAUUUAGGAAGCCAACUUGUGUGAACUCGCUUCUCCAAUCGUGGAUAUAGUCAACGAUCCAUCAAAGAUGCCUAUAGGAGGGCAAAAUCUUGUUCUCGUUCUGAUCUCCUCUUUUUCAAGACAAAAAACCCCCAGAGAUGAUAAAGUGAGAUUUAACACUAAUUAAUUAAUCUAACUAAUCUAGAUGGUUUGAGAUGAAAGGCCUGUUUGGAAAAAUACUGGCCAGUAUUAUUGACGGAUCCAAUUGUUGCAAGAUAUGCUACAUCGGGCCCUUCAGUAGUAGCAAGAAGAUCCAGAAAUGUGAAAGAUCCUUUGGUAAAGAGCCUUUCUACCAAACUGGUUACUUCAACUUUUCCAGGGAUGGGAAAACCUAAAUGGGGCUUUGUCCCUUGUAGGAGAUGUAUGGGAUGUACUCAUAUGUAAAGGGCUUCUGAGUUUUGUGAUGCUACUGGUGAGAAGGUUUUUCAAAUUACACAUCGGCUGACCUGCUCUAGUACAGCAGUGGUUUACUAUGCAAAAUGCCAAUGUCCCAAAAGUGUACGUGGGCCUUACCACGAGGGAGCUGAAGGUCAGGGUACGUGAGCAUGUUCCUGACAUUUUGGCUGCCCUUAAUGAAAGGGAUCUGACUAAUUUGAAACCUGUUGCCAGACCUUUCAAAAUGUAUCAAGCCUGUGAUCCCAGGGGUUUGAAGGCCCGGGGAAUAGAUUGCAUACCAAAAAAUGCUUGUGGAGAUAUCUCAAAGAAACUUGCUCAAUUGGAAUGUAAAUGGUUUUGGAAAUUGAACACAUUGCGUCCAAAUGGAUUUAAUGAGUCCUCUGGCUUUUCGUCUUUUCUAUAGGCUUCUCCCGGGUCAGCAUAUGUCAUUGUUUUUAGUCAUGAAUUGUUAUUUGUAUUUAUUUACUAUCUAAUUAAUCAGUGUUGUCAUUGCAUGUAAUUAACCACCUCUUAUACACUUUUCAGGCUCGUUUGCAAUAUGUUGCUGGACCUAAAGAUAAUUAAAUAUCACUUUUUUUUUUUCCACACAUUUUCACUCACAUCAUAUUCACUUUCGUUCAUGUUUUUGUAUGUUUAGUUCACAUUAAUUAAAUUUUUCAUUAUGAUUUGUAUUUAUUCACAUAUUUGAUCAUGUUUUUUGAUUUACACUUGUGGUAUGUAUUUUUUUUCGCACCUUAUCAUGUGAUUGAUGUCACUUAUGUAUUUUUGCUGAUAAUUGCACUUUUAUAUAAUUAUGUUGGUUCACCAUUCACAUUAAGUGCGUUAUAUUAUUUUUCUUAUUUUUGUGCGCCGUCAUGCCAGGCCUGUGCAUGCGCUAUUAUUCUCUAGGUGCCGCUGACAUGUAUCCCCAUAAUUAUCGCUGGAUCUGCCGGCUGCAUCACGUGACCAGACGAGGAUCACGUGACUGAUUUUGUCACAUAGCUGCGGUCCGCUUUACAUUUGUUUAUAUAGUCCAGGUGUGUACAAUGAUGCUGUUUGCAUUUGCAAUGAGCGCUAGGAUUAGUUGGUGGGAGUAUUGACGCCACCCCCAGACGAAGGUUCGCCGAAACGCGCGUCAGGGUUGGCGCCAUCCCGGAGGAGGCACAAAAUAGGCAAUUGAUUCUGCAUUUGUCAUCUAUAACGCUGUUUGCAUUUGCACUUUAUAUUUUCUUACUCAAUGGUGGAGCAGUAUGAAUUUAUACCAUUGUGCCUUUUCUCUGGUUGAUGUCUCUUUAUCCCUGCACUUGUUUUGUUGUAAAUUAUUUUAUGAAUUGUGUCUAAAAAAAUAUUGUUAUUUUUUCAUGUGGUUUGGUAGUUCUUUUUAUAGGUGUUUCCAUCAGUAAUAAAGCAGAGGAAUGACCCUGGAGAUGUCUGCUUCAACUUCUAAAAAAACUUUUCCUCUUAGAUCUCCAGGGUUUGGGGGUGGGGCAGUAAAGAGUGAGUAGUUGCCACUACAACUCCCAGCAUGCUUCCAAUGGCUAAGCUUGCUGAGUGUUGUGGUCACAGAGGCUGUAAACCACCAGUGGUCAUUGCCCCCUCCCCCAUCCACUCCAGCUUAGUGUGAAGGGCAUUUUCCUUUGUACUUUGUGUUCAGUGCAGGAAUCAACAUAAACUUGUAAGCAAUCUGCACAGGUGAUGGCGGUCCGCAGGAUGGGGCCCAGUGUCCCGGGGCCCCAGAACAACAGGGAUGCUGGUCUCAUUGCUGCCAUCAGUCGUUGUCCAGGACACAUGACUGUAAAGUUGCCGCUCUUCAGGCGAUGCUCCUAAUGGGGGGCACUUGUAGCGGCUGGGGGAGCUAGGACCACCCCAUUAUCAUUCCCAAUAAAUGGUAUAAUGGGUGGCCAUUGUUUCAGUGUCUCUGUCAGUCUGUUCUCUUCAUUGCUGGAAGGUUAA
Bufo gargarizans (Asiatic toad) is the source of this 3603-nucleotide long non-coding RNA. RefSeq lists it as uncharacterized. The transcript is spliced from 4 exons. Lineage: Eukaryota; Metazoa; Chordata; Amphibia; Anura; Bufonidae. The record is from RefSeq and is a predicted model, not a curated record.